UAGGGAAUCUUCGGCAAUGGGGGGAACCCUGACCGAGCAACGCCGCGUGAGUGAAGAAGGUUUUCGGAUCGUAAAGCUCUGUUGUUAAGGAAGAACGAGUGUGAGAAUGGAAAGUUCAUACUGUGACGGUACUUAACCAGAAAGGGACGGCUAACUACGUGCCAGCAGCCGCGGUAAUACGUAGGUCCCGAGCGUUGUCCGGAUUUAUUGGGCGUAAAGCGAGCGCAGGCGGUCAAUUAAGUCUGAUGUGAAAGCCCCCGGCUCAACCGGGGAGGGUCAUUGGAAACUGGUUGACUUGAGUGCAGAAGAGGAGAGUGGAAUUCCAUGUGUAGCGGUGAAAUGCGUAGAUAUAUGGAGGAACACCAGUGGCGAAGGCGACUCUCUGGUCUGUAACUGACGCUGAGGUUCGAAAGCGUGGGUAGCAAACAGG
RNAcentral lists this ribosomal RNA (430 nucleotides) under Bacteroidota bacterium. RNAcentral describes it as "Bacteroidetes bacterium partial 16S ribosomal RNA". It matches the Rfam family "Bacterial small subunit ribosomal RNA", at positions 355 to 776 of the family's 1533-position model. Lineage: Bacteria; Pseudomonadati; Bacteroidota. The record is from RNAcentral.